GAUGAAGAACGCAGCGAAAUGCGAUACGUAAUGUGAAUUGCAAAUUCAGUGAAUCAUCGAGUCUUUGAACGCACAUUGCGCCCCCUGGUAUUCCGGGGGGCGUGCCUGUCCGAGCGUCAUUGCUGCCCUCAAGCACGGCUUGUGUGUUGGGCCCCGUCCUCCGAUCCCGGGGGACGGGCCCGAAAGGCAGCGGCGGCACCGCGUCCGGUCCUCGAGCGUAUGGGGCUUUGUCACCCGCUCUGUAGGCCCGGCCGGCGCUUGCCGAUCAACCCAAAUUUUUAUCCAGGUUGACCUCGGAUCAGGUAGGGAUACCCGCUGAACUUAAGCAUAUCAAUAAGCGGAGGA
This 345-nucleotide unclassified non-coding RNA is filed under the name soil metagenome. Its description in RNAcentral is "partial contains 5.8S ribosomal RNA, internal transcribed spacer 2, and large subunit ribosomal RNA". The stretch from base 1 to 119 matches the Rfam family "5.8S ribosomal RNA", at positions 35 to 154 of the family's 154-position model. The record is from RNAcentral.